Molecule: long non-coding RNA, 1042 nt
Organism: Gambusia affinis (western mosquitofish)
Lineage: Eukaryota; Metazoa; Chordata; Actinopteri; Cyprinodontiformes; Poeciliidae
Exons: 2
Source: RefSeq, a predicted model, not a curated record
CAGCAAAAUUGUGGACUGUGGGGAUAACAGAGGGAGUCACCGGAUGGACAUGAAUUUCUUAAGAGGUAGAGAGGAUGCGCGGUGGCGGAGAAUUGCUGUCCAAAAAGCUUGGUUCGGUCAUCUAAUAUCUUCUCAACUGACAAAAUGUUUGCUGUUCACAUGGGGCAUUCUCCAACCACUGACUGAGAACAACAAUCGGCAGGUCUCAAGCCUUUCAAAACAGAAUGCUCUCUCAGACUGUGUAAUAGCAGUGUUAUAGAACUGCAGGGCCAUUUGGACCUCCAAAGCCAGGUGUUAGCACUUCAGCUCUCUGCUUCAUCAAUAAUUGACAGAGGCAAACCAAUCAGAACAAUUUGCUCCCCACAGCGAAGUGCUAGAGCAGCCUAACACCAGUGAAUCAUUAAUGAGGCAAUUAGAUGAAAUGGUUAGACGCUUAGCCCUCAGUAGCAAAACUCCUAUGACUUCACUGCGAUUGUUUGGCUUAAACAGAAGCUGCAUAUGAUGAAGUAAUGUACAGGCCAAAACACACAAGAAGAGAGACAGAAUACAACCACACAGCUGUGCCUAGAUACAGAGCUGUUUUCUAAAGGCUGGUAAGCAACUUGGUGCAGUGAUGCCAGCCCUCCAUCUGUUGACCACAACUCAGAGGACCAAUAAUGGGAACAAACCCAAUUGGCCAUUACAAUGGGAGAUUGACCUUUAUUGGUUGUUGUUACCACUGCACGGACUGACAGAAGCUGUCUCCCGGGUGGCUCAAGUGUGGGAGAGCCUUUAUGGACAUGGAUGAAAUCGACCUGGGUGACAUCACUCAAACAUGGGGAAAGGAACAACAAUAAUGGAGAAAACAGGGUUUGCCUUUGAUGAACAGAAAUCCUGGAUUGUUGUUUGAGAAAGAAUUCAAAGCCCUGUGGGAGCUGCUCACAAAGCCUCAUUGAUUGGUUAUAUUGGAACCAUUUCAUAGUUUAUCAAUGCUCAUCUGCCUGUUCUCCUAGGCCCAGGUCCAGUACAGGCUCAAUUAAACCAGCCACCUUGAUCUUAGGAA